AGAGCGAACGCUGGCGGCAUGCUUAACACAUGCAAGUCGCACGGUUGGGGUAACCUGGCAGUGGCGGACGGGUGAGUAACGCGUAGGUAUCUAUCCAUGGGUGGGGGAUAACGGCGGGAAACUGCUGCUAAUACCGCAUGAUGCCUGAGGGCCAAAAGGCGCGAGUCGCCUGUGGAGGAGCCUGCGUCCGAUUAGCUUGUUGGUGGGGUAAUGGCCUACCAAGGCGACGAUCGGUAGCUGGUCUGAGAGGAUGAUCAGCCACACUGGGACUGAGACACGGCCCAGACUCCUACGGAGGCAGCAGUGGGGAAUAUUGGACAAUGGGCGCAAGCCUGAUCCAGCAAUGCCGCGUGGAUGAAGAAGGUCUUCGGAUUGUAAAGUCCUUUCGGCGGGGACGAUGAUGACGGUACCCGCAGAAGAAGCCCCGGCUAAACUUCGACGGCCAAGCAGCCGC
RNAcentral lists this ribosomal RNA (454 nucleotides) under uncultured bacterium. RNAcentral describes it as "SSU rRNA". It matches the Rfam family "Bacterial small subunit ribosomal RNA", at positions 26 to 518 of the family's 1533-position model. The record is from RNAcentral.